Molecule: ribosomal RNA, 519 nt
Filed under: uncultured eukaryote
Lineage: Eukaryota
Description: SSU rRNA
Rfam family: Eukaryotic small subunit ribosomal RNA
Source: RNAcentral
AGGGCACCACCAGGGGUGGAGCCUGCGGCUUAAUUUGACUCAACACGGGAAAACUCACCCGGCCCGGACACUGGAAGGAUUGACAGAUUGAGAGCUCUUUCUUGAUUCAGUGGGUGGUGGUGCAUGGCCGUUCUUAGUUGGUGGAGUGAUUUGUCUGGUUAAUUCCGAUAACGAACGAGACUCUAGCCUACUAAAUAGAUCGUCGGCUUACAAACGCCGGCGAGACUUCUCAGAGGGACAGGCGGUGAUUCAACCGCACGAAACAGAGCAAUAACAGGUCUGUGGUGCCCUUAGAUGUCCGGGGCCGCACGCGCGCUACACUGAAGUGAUCAGCGUGCUUUUUCAACCUACUCUGUCAAGAGUGGGGAACCCAAUGAACCUUCUUCGUGAUUGGGAUAGGGGAUUGUAAUUAUUCCCCUUGAACGAGGAAUUCCCAGUAAGCGCGAGUCAUAAGCUCGCGUUGAUUACGUCCCUGCCCUUUGUACACACCGCCCGUCGCUACUACCGAUUGAAUGUUUU